Molecule: long non-coding RNA, 925 nt
Organism: Nicotiana tabacum (common tobacco)
Lineage: Eukaryota; Viridiplantae; Streptophyta; Magnoliopsida; Solanales; Solanaceae
Source: RefSeq, a predicted model, not a curated record
UAAUAAACGACAUGACAUGAGGGCAAUUGGGAGUAAACUGUAAAGAAAUUCCUAAUUUCAAAACUCAAAAGAGAACAUCUCUCAGUCUCACGGCUCAUAUUCUCAAAUUGCUACUUGCUAGUGUUCAUUCUUGUCUCCGACUCGCCGAGACGUCGAUUCGUGUCGUUAGUCAUCUUUGAAAAUUGCUUGACGCUGGUGCUGGUCGAUCUUUGCCACUGGUCAUGGCAGCCACAAAAGAACUCAAAUCUUGGACUACCAUCCAAACCUCCGCGAUGUGAAUAGAAGAGCAUACAUUCAGAGAGGUGCUUGUCAACCUCGAGAACAUAACUUUCCUCAAACAUAUUUUUAUGGAGUAAUGCGUCGUUUUAAUCCUAAAUGGUUUGUUGAUUAUCAUGGGUGAUUGGAGUAUAGUAUAAGUAACGAUGCAGCAUAUUGUUUGAGUUGUUAUUUGUUUAAAGACGAUAACAUUCAUCAAGGUGGAGGUGAUGUAUUUUCGAGCAUAUGGUUUAAGAGUUGGAAUAAAAAGAAGAGCUUUGAUAAGCAUGUUGGUGGGCCAAGUAGCUUUCAUAACCAAGCAAAAAGGAAAUGUGUAGAUCUACUACGGAAACAACAGUCCACUAUAUAUGCAUUUGAGAAUAAAUCUGAUCAAGUUAAGCAUGAUUACUGGAUCGGUUAAUGUCGUAAGACUUCUUUUGAAGUAAGGAUUUGCAUUUCGGGGUCAUGAUGAAUCUAAAACAUCAUUUAACAGGGGUAAUUUUCUUGAAAUUCUCUCAUGGUAUGUAAAAGAAUGUGAUAAAAUUCAUGAUUAUGUAUUGGCAUAUACUCCUCAAAAUGAUCAGAUGACUUCUCCAAUGAUUCAAAAAGACAUUGUGACUGCAUGUAAGAUGGAAAUAAUUAAAUCUAUCAUUAAAGAAUUAAAUGGUGA